This is a small nucleolar RNA of Amazona collaria (yellow-billed parrot), 71 nucleotides long. The record is from Ensembl. Lineage: Eukaryota; Metazoa; Chordata; Aves; Psittaciformes; Psittacidae.
CAUCUGUGAUGAUCCUAUCCCGAACCUGAUUACUUUGCUGAAGAAACAAAUACGGAUCCGGAUUCUGAGAU